Molecule: ribosomal RNA, 460 nt
Filed under: uncultured bacterium
Lineage: Bacteria
Description: partial 16S ribosomal RNA
Rfam family: Bacterial small subunit ribosomal RNA
Source: RNAcentral
CCUACGGGAGGCAGCAGUGAGGAAUAUUGGUCAAUGGACGAGAGUCUGAACCAGCCAAGUAGCGUGAAGGAUGACUGCCCUAUGGGUUGUAAACUUCUUUUAUAUGGGAAUAAAAUGUUCCACGUGUGGGAUUUUGUAUGUACCAUAUGAAUAAGGAUCGGCUAACUCCGUGCCAGCAGCCGCGGUAAUACGGAGGAUCCGAGCGUUAUCCGGAUUUAUUGGGUUUAAAGGGAGCGUAGGUGGGUUGUUAAGUCAGUUGUGAAAGUUUGCGGCUCAACCGUAAAAUUGCAGUUGAAACUGGCAGUCUUGAGUACAGUAGAGGUGGGCGGAAUUUGUGGUGUAGCGGUGAAAUGCUUAGAUAUCACGAAGAACUCCGAUUGCGAAGGCAGUUCACUGGACUGCAACUGACACUGAGGCUCGAAAGUGUGGGUAUCAAACAGGAUUAGAUACCCGUGUAGUC